CUCAAAGUCCGGCGAAGUCCAUCUCUCUCAAUUCGUCCGGCGAUUACACACCAACUUCUUUCAAGAUUUUACUUCGCUCUUUGUGUUUAAUCUAUGAUUCUUGUCUAGAAGUUCAUAGAUCCGUAACUAUAGUGCUGAUUUUUGAAAGAAUCAUGCCAAUCUUCUCGGAUCUUAGCAGGUUACGAACUCUAACUGUGGAAGUUGAUCUGAGGCGAGGCAGUCCAUGAAGACAGCAGCGUCCACCAAGAUCUACGGCUUUAGAGCUCAAAGAUGGUGACAAGAGUGUUUUUGGAGGCAGAAGAGAUUUCAGAUCCGAUAAGCUGUGAAGGAAAACCAGAGACUCGCCAUUAAGCUCCAAAGUCAGAUCUGGUAGAAAAGAGUUCAGAUCCGGUGGAAGAUAGUGUCGCCGACUUCUCUUCCAUUUCUGAUGCAUAGAAGAAAUUUUCAGAUCCGUUUGAUAUAUUUUUUUUGGGGGAAAAAAGGGAGGGGGUAUUAGCCCCAGAACAAAGCUAUAACCCAGUUCUCACAACAGGGAUGCAAAACUCAACAGACUCUCUGUCAGACUCAAGGAAAUCCAGAAUGAAUUCAAGGGGUAUUAGUUUGAUAUAUUUUAGUUGUUGAAAGAAUGAUUUUAGUUCUUUGAAAUAUACUUAUUUGGUUUUAAUAUUCUUAGACACAGAUGGUAGCCAUAUUUUGUUUUUUGUUUUUUGGCCUUUUCUCCUGUAAAUCUGUAAUGUAAUAUGAAUGAAUGCAUUGAAAUAUUUCUUCUUUGAUAUUGAAAUAUACUUUUGUAUUGUA
Long non-coding RNA from Ipomoea triloba (trilobed morning glory), 798 nucleotides. RefSeq lists it as uncharacterized. NCBI's taxonomy places the organism in Eukaryota, Viridiplantae, Streptophyta, Magnoliopsida, Solanales, Convolvulaceae. The transcript is spliced from 2 exons. The record is from RefSeq and is a predicted model, not a curated record.